CAUAGCGACUAUCGUGGCAUAUCAAUAAGCGGAGGAAAAGAAACUAACAAGGAUUCCCUUAGUAACGGCGAGUGAAGCGGGAAGAGCUCAAAUUUGAAAUCUUCAAGGUUUUACCUUGACGAAUUGUAGUUUAAAGAAGUGUUUUCUGUUGGAGUUUUGGUAAAAGUUCUUUGGAAUAGGACAUCAUAGAGGGUGAGAAUCCCGUAUUUGACCAUUAUUUCAGCUUUGUGAUACACUUUCAAAGAGUCGGAUUGUUUGGGAAUGCAGUCCAAAAUGGGUGGUAAAUUUCAUCUAAAGCUAAAUAUUGGCGAGAGACCGAUAGCGAACAAGUACCGUGAGGGAAAGAUGAAAAGAACUUUGAAAAGAGAGUUAAACAGUACGUGAAAUUGUCAAAAGGGAAGCGUUUGACACCAGUGUUGUUUUCUCGAAAAUCAAUUAAAAAGCUUGAUUCAUGUAGGUUGUUAUGACCUUAUCAGCCUACUGCACUUUAGUUCAUGGUCUCUUUUUGAUGCACUUUUCGGUUAACAAGUCAACAUCUAUUUCCUUUGUUGUAAAAGGUAAUGAGGAAGGUGGCUUUCAAUUUCGGUAGAAGUGUUUAUAGCCUUGUAUCUCUGCAGUCGGAGAGAUUGAGGUCUGCAGCGUAGAUCCUUCGGGGUUAGAUACAUUUAUGCUAAGUUAUAGCUUUUCAUAGACAACUUGUUGACUAUGUUUAGUCUUGUAGCUUACUCGCUUAUGCUAUUUUACCUACGCUUAGGAUGUUGACGAGACUGUCGAUCUC
This 778-nucleotide ribosomal RNA is filed under the name uncultured Neocallimastigales. Its description in RNAcentral is "partial large subunit ribosomal RNA". It matches the Rfam family "Eukaryotic large subunit ribosomal RNA", at positions 22 to 645 of the family's 3401-position model. Lineage: Eukaryota; Fungi; Neocallimastigomycota; Neocallimastigomycetes; Neocallimastigales. The record is from RNAcentral.